RNAcentral lists this small RNA (730 nucleotides) under Rattus norvegicus (Norway rat). RNAcentral's name for it is "uncharacterized LOC108352896". Lineage: Eukaryota; Metazoa; Chordata; Mammalia; Rodentia; Muridae. The record is from RNAcentral.
UACAUUUCCGGGUCACAGGUCACAGUGUGCCGGGUCAGAUCCAACUGGGUUCAUAUGGACUUCCGUCUUCAGACAUCUUAGUCUGUUUAUAUGGCUGAUUCCGUUUCUCUGUUUGCCUAUGUUGACCCAUCCCUGCAUCUUGGUUACAAAGCCUACUCUAUUAUUGUGGAAGAUCCUUUUGAUGUGAUCCUGGAUUUGGUUUUGUAAUCCUACAAGAAACUCCCUUGAGAUGUAACUCUGUGGACGCCUCAGAUCAGCAGAACACUCAUGAGUUUAGAGGACUUCAGAGAAGCCUCAUUUUCUCAUCUCAGCUAGAACAUGCCAUAGCUGUUGAGUGAACUGUUCCCCGGACUCAUCGUCAGCCUUUUCCAGCCUAGAAGCCUCAUUUUCUCAUCUCAGCUAGAACAUGCCAUAGCUGUUGAGUGAACUGUUCUCCGGACUCAUCGUCAGCCUUUUCCAGCCUUCCCUACCUCACAGCCAACGGUUAUCUUUUCCUCCUAUCUCCUUGUGACUUAAUUUCUGCAGGUUUCAAGGCUCAGGCAAGACAAAGAACACUAGUGCUCGACCAGGUGACAGUGGUUAGCAGCCUUUGAUACUAGAAAAUCUCCCCUCUCCCCCUGAAUUUACCAGAAUAAAAAAAUUUUAGCGCUAGAUAGGACCAAAUGGAUUGUAUACCUCAAAGAUUACGCAGGGUAAUGGUUUUCUGUAUCUGCUUGUCUUUGCUUUUUCU